Molecule: long non-coding RNA, 1441 nt
Filed under: Homo sapiens (human)
Lineage: Eukaryota; Metazoa; Chordata; Mammalia; Primates; Hominidae
Description: SLC12A2 divergent transcript, transcript variant 8 (SLC12A2-DT)
Source: RNAcentral
UUUUUUUUUUUCCCCCCGCUUUGGUGAACUCGCAGUACUUGGGCUGAGCCCGAAAUCUCGCGAGAUGCUGCAGGCGUCAGUGCGGCUUCCCACUAGGCGCGUGGUACCCGAGGCCGGGCCGGAGCCGCAGGCCAGCCGCGAUUCCUUCGGGCGAUGCUGGGGGCUUUCCGGUCGGGGCCGCAGCCGCUUCCGGAGCCGCGGGCGAGGUGCGUUCCCCAGCCUGGUUUGCUCUGGGCUCUGACCCGCCGCCGCGAAUCUCCGCUCGUAACUCCGGGCCUGAACCUGGAGGAGGGAGGAUUUCCUCUGUGCAGCUUUCGAGCGGUAGACUCACCCUGCCAGGCAGACCUAGAUUGGCAUAACCAGAGAUCAGUUCCAGUUGUGAUGCAGUGGGUGUCUACACACUUCUGAUGACACCUUUAUUUUAAAAGCUGAUGUUCCAAGGUGCAAGCGGUCUUCUCUGUCUUCUUUAUGGCCAGUAAAAUUCUCCAGAAGAGAUUUAUGGCAGCCUCACUCCCAGUAGUUUCUGCAUUUAGUGAGAUAAGAUGGAAUCUUGCUCUCUUGCUCAGACUGGAGUGCAGUGGCAUGACCUUGGCUCACUGCAACCUCACCUCUCGGGUUCAAGCGAUUCUGCCUCAGCCUCUCGAGUAGCUGGGACUACAGGUGGGAGACCUCCACAGAACCCUUCCAGCAAGCUGUCUUCUAAAGCAAACAAGAAAAGGAAAGUCUGAGCAGUUUUGAUUAGAUUUCCCAGAAGUCAAAGCAAGGAAAAAUGAAAAAGCUUCAUUUCUCACGUUCUUAAAAGAGAGCACAGAUGUUGCAUCAUCUGGUUAGAUACCCUGAGAAUAAAAUCUGGAUCCAGUGAGAGGAAAGAUUCUGGGUGCUCAUGAAAAAAGAAACAAAACAAAACUUGGGAGCCUCUUGAGAGUGUACAGCAUCAGCCCUUGCCAACUCUUGUUUAUAUGCAUUUAACUUUCAGUUAACCAUGGGAAUAAUUCAUGAAAAUCCAAUCUACAAACAAAGGCCAUCCUAACGUUCAUGUUAUUCUUUUCCCUAAGAAUCUUUCACAAGAGCUAUAAUCAAGUAGAAUUAUGCUUUGAUUUGAAUUCUAAUUCAAUUGAAAAUAAAAAAUGAGGGCCGGACGCGGUGGCUCAUGCCUGUAAUCCCAGCGCUUUGGGAGGCUGAGGUGGACGGAUCACGAGGUCAGGAGAUCGAGACCAUCCUGGCUAACACGGUGAAACCCGAUCCCUACUAAAAAUACAAAAAAUUAGCCGGGCGUGGUGGCAGGCGCCUGUAGUCCCAGCUACUCGGGAGGCUGAGGCAGGAGAAUGGCGUGAACCCAGGAGGCAGAGGUUGCAGUGAGCCGAGAUCAUGCUACUGCACUCCAGCCUGGGCGACAGAGCGAGACUCUGUGUAUAAAUAAAUAAAUAAAUAAAUAAAUAAC